Molecule: non-coding RNA, 179 nt
Filed under: Orussus abietinus
Lineage: Eukaryota; Metazoa; Arthropoda; Insecta; Hymenoptera; Orussidae
Source: RNAcentral
AUACUUACGGGCCUUCGGGAAACGGUCGGCGCGUGGUGCCUUGCGCAGGCAAAUGCCGUCGUUGAUACCUAACCUAACCAGUUGAGACAAAGAUCAGUGGGUUGUUAGUCGCUUUGUUCCACGUUAACAAAAAUCGAAGGACACUCGUUGGCCCUUUUUGUUUAAACAUUUUAGAGUUU